Molecule: ribosomal RNA, 446 nt
Filed under: uncultured bacterium
Lineage: Bacteria
Description: bacterial SSU rRNA
Rfam family: Bacterial small subunit ribosomal RNA
Source: RNAcentral
AGCCAGACUCCUACGGGAGGCAGCAGUGGGGAAUAUUGCACAAUGGGGGAAACCCUGAUGCAGCGACGCCGCGUGAGUGAAGAAGUAUUUCGGUAUGUAAAGCUCUAUCAGCAGGGAAGAAAAUGACGGUACCUGACUAAGAAGCCCCGGCUAACUACGUGUCAGCAGCCGCGGUAAUACGUAGGGGGCAAGCGUUAUCCGGAUUUACUGGGUGUAAAGGGAGCGUAGACGGCAUGGCAAGUCAGAUGUGAAAGCCCGGGGCUCAACCCCGGGACUGCAUUUGAAACUGUCAGGCUGGAGUGCAGGAGAGGUAAGUGGAAUUCCUAGUGUAGCGGUGAAAUGCGUAGAUAUUAGGAGGAACACCAGUGGCGAAGGCGGCUUACUGGACUGUAACUGACGUUGAGGCUCGAAAGCGUGGGGAGCAAACAGGAUUAGAUACCCCAGUA